GACGAACGCUGGCGGCGUGCUUAACACAUGCAAGUCGAACGGAAAGGCCCUGCUUUUGUGGUGUGCUCGAGUGGCGAACGGGUGAGUAACACGUGAGUAACCUGCCCUUGACUUUCGUAUAACUUCAGGAAACUGGGGUUACUACCGUAUAGGAUCUCCUCCUCCAUGGUGGGGGUUGGAACUUUUCGGCGUGUGGGGAUGGACUCGCGGCUUUUCAGUUUGUUGGUGGGGUAGUGGCUUACCAAGGCUUUGACGGGUAGGCGGCCUGAGAGGGUGACCGGGCACAUUGGGACUGAGAGACGGCCCAGAGUCCUACGGGAGGCAGCAGGGGGGAAUAUUGCACAAUGGGCGGAAGCCUGAUGAAGCAACGCCGCGUGCGGGAUGACGGCCUUCGGGUUGUAAACCGCUUUCGCCUGUGACGAAGCGUGAGUGACGGUAAUGGGUAAAGAAGCACCGGCUAACUACGUG
Molecule: ribosomal RNA, 468 nt
Filed under: uncultured bacterium
Lineage: Bacteria
Description: partial 16S ribosomal RNA
Rfam family: Bacterial small subunit ribosomal RNA
Source: RNAcentral